RNA transcript from Populus nigra (black poplar), 1519 nucleotides. It is a transcript of the gene named suppressor of mec-8 and unc-52 protein homolog 1-like, with no coding region annotated. The record is from RefSeq and is a predicted model, not a curated record. The transcript is spliced from 4 exons. NCBI's taxonomy places the organism in Eukaryota, Viridiplantae, Streptophyta, Magnoliopsida, Malpighiales, Salicaceae.
GCAAAAGAUGGGAGGAUCAAAGUCUGGUGUACAAGGAUUGGUCAAUGCUUGCGUUGUAUUGAAUGUGCACAUUCUCAGGGAGUCACGAGUCUUGCUUUCUCUUGUGAUGGAAGCCAGCUGCUAAGUGCAUCAUUUGACAACACACCCAGGUUCGAUUAAAUUAAUGGACUUUUUUAUUCUGUGUAUAGCAAGUUAAUUAAGACUCUGCUUACCACUAUAAUCAGUUGACACCUUUUAAUUAACACUAUUAUCUUUAUCUCUAUUUUACUUGUGUGGUCAUUGAAUUUCUAACUUUAGUCAUUCCCUUAUCCAUACAACAGUUAUUUUCUUGCUAUUAAUUUUUUGUGAAUGAUGCCAUCUUCACUAGUGAGCCAUCUUCACUAGUGAUGGAACUCGUGUUGUUACUGGUUCCAGUGAUUGCACAGUCAAAGUAGGUUUGGGAUAUGAAGAGUACUGACUGUAUACAUACAUUCAGGACACCACCACCAUUGAGGGUAUUUUUUCUCAAUCCAAUCUGCAUGAUCAUGAUUGAGCUGCAUUGUCUCAUGGGGCUUACCUGGGAUAGAAUACAUCCAUGCUAUAUGUCUUGCUUUUGCCUUCUACAGCACAUAGCUGAUUGUUGCUUGUUGUGUGGAUUGUAAGGGAGGUGAUGCUUCUGUGAACUCUGUUCAUCUUUUCCCAAAAAACACUGAUCAUAUUGUUGUAUGUAACAUGACAUCAUCGGUAUGCAUUAUGACACUUCAUGGACAGGUAGUUUCUCUCAACUCCAGCUGAUGCUAAUAGUUUUUCACUUAUUUGUUACUCCAUGAUUGGUUUUGGGGUUGGGACCAAAUUUUAGAUAGUGUACCAACUACUUUUUUGACAGCAAACCAUUGACAUUUCUCUAGCAUUUACUAGUCUUAGACCACCACAAAAGCAAACAUAAACAGAUUACCAUUCUAUAGAUAGAUUACAAUUCUAUGUUUUACUGGUUAAGGUACUUUUUUUGUUCACUGAAACUCUUUCAGGGUGCAUAAGUAGAGGAGUUUUGAUAAUUCAUUAUCAAUAACAUCUUGCUUUGAGUGACUGUUAUGCAGGUUGUGAAGAGCUUUUCUUCAGGUAAAAGAGGUGGAGAUUUUGCUGCAGCCUGUGUAUCACCAAAAGGGGAAUGGAUCUAUUGUGUUGGUGAAGACAGGCAUUCCUUCAUCCACCUGAUUCUGAUAUAUAAUUUUCAAUUUUGUGUUUUAUUUAUUUUCUCAUAAAAUAAGAAUUCUAUAAAAAAAGAAGAGAAAGAUGAAACGAAAAUGUCAUUUAUUGCUGGGACAAGUUGAGAGAUGGGUGUUUGAGACGGCUUAAUUUUUUUAAUAGCUGUCAUCAAAAUUGCCUGCAGGAAUAUUUACUGCUUCAGCUUCCAAUCCUCUGCAAACUAGAGCAUCUAAUGAUGGUUCACGAGAAGGAUGUAAUAGGUGUGACCCAUCAUCCUCAUAGAAAUCUUCUUGCUACCUACAGUGAAGGUUGCACAAUGAAAUUAUGGAAGCCU